Molecule: long non-coding RNA, 543 nt
Filed under: Coturnix japonica (Japanese quail)
Lineage: Eukaryota; Metazoa; Chordata; Aves; Galliformes; Phasianidae
Description: lncRNA (ENSCJPG00005006559.1)
Source: RNAcentral
AUGGCAGACCAGCACCUACGCGGGGGACAACAUCGUCACGGCCGUGUCCACCUACCAAGGACUAUGGGGCAGCUGCGUCAGCACCAGCACCGGGCAGCUGCAGUGCAAGGCCUACGACUCACUGCUGGCACUGCCAGUGCACACAGUGCGGGGACCCCAAUAAGAAGGGACGCAUGGCGGGAACCGGGGGAGGCGGAAGCGUUUGUCAUCGCAGGGCUGUGUUCCCUGGUGGCCUGUUCCUGGUACGCGCAUCGCAGUCCUGCUACCGCGUCGAUGAGCUGCCGCUCUCAAAACCGGUGGGCAGGGCCGAAUCAACUGCUAUCACCGACUUCUACAACGCCGCUGCAUCCCCGUCAAAACCUCAAGUACGAGCUGGGCCCGGCGCUGUUCGUGGGCUGGGCCGGUUCCGCGCUGUUGUUGUUGGGCGGUUCCGCGCUGCUCUGCUCCUGCGGGAACCGAACCGGAACCGGAAAGGCCCGAUACCCACGUGUCAACAACGCGCCGAGGAAAGCCGGAAGCGGAAGUGCCACCGACUACGUUUGA